This 254-nucleotide ribosomal RNA is filed under the name uncultured bacterium. Its description in RNAcentral is "partial 16S ribosomal RNA". It matches the Rfam family "Bacterial small subunit ribosomal RNA", at positions 524 to 776 of the family's 1533-position model. The record is from RNAcentral.
UACAGAGGGUGCAAGCGUUAAUCGGAAUUACUGGGCGUAAAGCGCGCGUAGGUGGUUCGUUAAGUUGGAUGUGAAAUCCCCGGGCUCAACCUGGGAACUGCAUUCAAAACUGUCGAGCUAGAGUAUGGUAGAGGGUGGUGGAAUUUCCUGUGUAGCGGUGAAAUGCGUAGAUAUAGGAAGGAACACCAGUGGCGAAGGCGACCACCUGGACUGAUACUGACCACUGAGGUGCGAAAGCGUGGGGAGCAAACAGG